RNAcentral lists this ribosomal RNA (302 nucleotides) under uncultured bacterium. RNAcentral's name for it is "partial 16S ribosomal RNA". It matches the Rfam family "Bacterial small subunit ribosomal RNA", at positions 508 to 807 of the family's 1533-position model. The record is from RNAcentral.
GCAGCCGCCGCGGGAAUACGGAGGGUGCAAGCGUUAAUCGGAAUUACUGGGCGUAAAGCGCACGCAGGCGGUUUGUUAAGUCAGAUGUGAAAUCCCCGAGCUUAACUUGGGAACUGCAUUUGAAACUGGCAAGCUAGAGUCUUGUAGAGGGGGGUAGAAUUCCAGGUGUAGCGGUGAAAUGCGUAGAGAUCUGGAGGAAUACCGGUGGCGAAGGCGGCCCCCUGGACAAAGACUGACGCUCAGGUGCGAAAGCGUGGGGAGCAAACAGGAUUAGAUACCCCAGUAGUCCCUGUCUCUUAUAC